This is a small nucleolar RNA of Bufo bufo (common toad), 89 nucleotides long. Lineage: Eukaryota; Metazoa; Chordata; Amphibia; Anura; Bufonidae. The record is from RefSeq and is a predicted model, not a curated record.
UGCCUGUGAUGAGUUGCCAUGCUAAUACUGACACUGCAGGUGGCUUCUGCGAUCGCAGUGACUGAGUGUAAAUGACUUAACUGAGGCGG